Molecule: ribosomal RNA, 583 nt
Filed under: uncultured fungus
Lineage: Eukaryota; Fungi
Description: eukaryotic LSU rRNA
Rfam family: 5.8S ribosomal RNA (bases 212-365)
Source: RNAcentral
CUUGGUCAUUUAGAGGAAGUAAAAGUCGUAACAAGGUUUCCGUAGGUGAACCUGCGGAAGGAUCAUUACCUAGAGUUUGCAGACUUCGGUCUGCUACCUCUUACCCAUGUCUUUUGAGUACCUUCGUUUCCUCGGCGGGUCCGCCCGCCGAUUGGACAACAUUCAAACCCUUUGCAGUUGCAAUCAGCGUCUGAAAAAACAUAAUAGUUACAACUUUCAACAACGGAUCUCUUGGUUCUGGCAUCGAUGAAGAACGCAGCGAAAUGCGAUAAGUAGUGUGAAUUGCAGAAUUCAGUGAAUCAUCGAAUCUUUGAACGCAUAUUGCGCCCCUUGGUAUUCCAUGGGGCAUGCCUGUUCGAGCGUCAUUUGUACCUUCAAGCUCUGCUUGGUGUUGGGUGUUUUGUCUCGCCUCCGCGUGUAGACUCGCCUUAAAACAAUUGGCAGCCGGCGUAUUGAUUUCGGAGCGCAGUACAUCUCGCGCUUUGCACUCAUAACGACGACGUCCAAAAGUACAUUUUUACACUCUUGACCUCGGAUCAGGUAGGGAUACCCGCUGAGCUUAAGCAUAUCAAUAAGCGGAGGA